Long non-coding RNA from Glycine soja, 896 nucleotides. RefSeq lists it as uncharacterized. Lineage: Eukaryota; Viridiplantae; Streptophyta; Magnoliopsida; Fabales; Fabaceae. The transcript is spliced from 3 exons. The record is from RefSeq and is a predicted model, not a curated record.
GAACAAAAGAAAAGAAAAAAGAAGGGAAGGGGAAGGGGAGAAGGAAGAGGAAAAGAAAAGGAGAAAAACAUAGAUUAGAGACCUACUGCCCUAGAGCCCAACUCUAUACGAUCAUGAGCAAAAGGAAAGGAAGAGAAGGAAAAUAAGACAGAAUUGACCUGCCAACAAUAUACAAUAGAUAGAUUAGCUGCACCCAAGCACAUGGCAAGCCUGCAUCAACGCCCGACAAGAAUUCCAAGCGUAGGUGGUGGCAAACGAGAAGACAUAACAACCCAUGUUCAUUUCUAAUGCCUAAUACAACAAGUAACUUGUCUUGGAGAUGAAUAAUCCUUACAAAAGUACAUGUUGACAGUAUUUGAGUAAUACUUGUAUUUUGUCACAACAAGGAAAAGGGGUAGCAGGGAUUAAACCCUGUAUACUAAAGAAAAAAUUAUCUUGUCAUAUUGGGCUUUUUUAAUCAAAGUUCACAGGCCUGUCGUUAUCACUUUCAUUCUCAUUUUCUAGCUCUAGUAUAGUAUACUUCAUCUCUUUCGAUUAAGGAGCAACAUAUUUUAACCGCACCAUGCUUCCCUCCCAAAGUAGGUACUAGACAACCGUUGGCAAAUUCUAUAUUACAGCAGACACCAACAAACAUCCCUUGAAGAUAGAUUCAAAGGACUUCCAGGUUAUGGUGCUCUACUGCUCUACAUUCCAAUGUAUUGUAAUUUCAACAAAUCUGCCACAGCAUUUGUCCAGUCACACAUUCUAACCAAAUCUAAUUGGACACUCCACCGAGAAUUCUUUGAUCAAAGAAUCUGAGCUAUAUUCCAAACACUAUUAACUCUCAAAUUGAUCUCAUCAUAUUGUAAUCACUAACCAUGCUUGAAUGUGUGGAAACAGAAAGGAAAAAUAGAAAA